UUUUAUUGAUAUAUAAUUGAGAUAUAACAGUGCAUAAGAUAUUUUUAAAGAUUUUAUUUAUCUGUUGCAGAGAGAGUGUGUGUACUAGUGGAGGGGAGGGGGUAAAGGGACAAGCAGACUCUCCACUGAGCUCAGUUCCAGGACCUUGAGAUCGUAACCUGAGCAGAAGGCAAAUGCUUAAUUAAUUAAUUAAUUGAUUAAUGUGUAUGCCAUAAUGAUUUGAUUAAGGUACAUAUUGUGAAUCAUCACCAGAGUAAAUUUAGUUAAGAUCCAUCACCUCACACAGUUACAGAAUAUUUCCUCCUGUAAUAAGAACGUUUAAGAUUUCCUAUAACAUUAUCAAUAACACCAUUUUGAAUAAUCCCCAAACCAUGAAAGAUACCAAACUAAAAACCAUAAGUUUCAUGGCAAUCAAUAAAAAGGGAAAAACCUAUGAUUUUAGAUGAUAGAAAAUAAACAUUUGACUUGUAAAGAAAAAGAACCCCUCCAAAAUGAAUGAAAGUAUAGAGGAUUAGUCAAAAUAAAAGCUAUAAUAAAAGGGAUCCCUGGGUGGCGCAGCGGUUUAACGCCUGCCUUUGGGCCAGGGCGCGAUCUUGGAGACCGCGGAUCGAAUCCUAUGUCGGGCUCCCGGUACAUGGAGCCUACUUCUCCCUCUGCCUAUGUCUCUGCCCCCCCCCCCCCUCUCUCUCUCUGUGACUAUCACAAAAAAAAAAAAAAAAAAAAAAAAAAGCUAUAAUAAAAGAAAUGGAGAAGGAAACCAGAAGAGUGGAUUAAUAUAAAACCAAAAGCUGGUUAUUAGAAAGAGUCAACUCAUAGAUUAAGGAAAAAAUAUUUAAAUCUGUUAGGAAUGAGACAGAAAACAGAAACAGAUCUAGAAGAAAGUAAAAAAGAUUACAAAAGAGAUUUCAAGUUCUAUUACAAUGCAUUAGACAGCUACAGAAAUUGAUGGUUUUUUUUGAUAAAACAUAAAGGAUCAUUUAAAAGUCAAACAUACCAAUUACUGAGGAAAUUGGAAAUUUGCCAUUAAGAAGGACUAGGCUCAGGACGCCUGGGUGGCUCAGCGGUUGAGUGCCUGCUUUUGGCCUAGGGCCUAGGGCGUAGUCCUGGGGUCCUGGGAUGGAGUCCCACAUCGGGCUCCCUGCAUGGAGCCUGCUUCUCUCUCUCUCUCUGUCUCUGUCUCUCUGUCUCUCUGUCUCUCUCAUGAAUAAAUAAAAUCUUAAAAAAGAAGAAGAAAAAGAAAGACUAGGCUCUUGGCUGUGAUAUAGGGGAAAAAUUCAUCCUGAGUCAAGCCAGAACUAAUUUUCCAAACUCCAGUGAAAAACUAUAGUCUUUCUAGCAACAGCAUGGUGAGUAGAUUGGGCAAGGUUUAAUAAAAGCGGAAAUAGAUAUAUUUUACUUAUUUCUCAACAUCCAUCACAGCACAAGCUCCCUUUACAAAGGAUAGUAGAAAAAAGGAGAAAGUAGAAAAUAGGAUGUGAAGAGAAAGGAUAAAGUAUCCCUUUGACAGAUACUUUAUGGUCUUACACUUCUUAUCUAAAAGAAUUAACCUCUACUUAGCACAUCCACAGAAAAACCAAAUUUAUUUAAAAUCUAAAAUAAGUUUCCGGGUGCACCUGGGUGGCUCAGUUGGUUAAGCAUCUGCCUUCAGUUCAGGUCAUGAUCUCAGGGUCCUAGGAUCGUGCCCUGUGUCAAACCCUGCAUUGGGCUCCCUGCUCACUGGGGAGUCUGCUUCUCCCUCUCCCCCUUGCUCAUGCUCUCUCUCUCAAAAUGAAUAAGAUCUUUUAAAAAAUGCUAAAAUAAUGCUGAGAUAAAGAAAACCGUUUUAUACUUUCCGGAUCUCAGCAGCCUGUCAUUCACUUUGUUCUAGCAAAGACAAGCACUAAGUGACUCCUGUAAUGAUGCUGUUAAAUUUCCUUAUACUUGUACUCUACC
RNAcentral lists this long non-coding RNA (1932 nucleotides) under Canis lupus familiaris (dog). RNAcentral describes it as "lncRNA (ENSCAFG00805001307.1, ENSCAFG00845004331.1)". Lineage: Eukaryota; Metazoa; Chordata; Mammalia; Carnivora; Canidae. The record is from RNAcentral.